AUAGACCAUAGGCAUUAUAUAUGUUCACUGUUCACUGCGUGUAAAUACAAUGAUUGACCUUCCAUCAACAGACAAGAGGCGUAACUCCAUGGCAACAGAGAAAUAGAGGUCACAAUCAUAUUUUCCAAGGCAAUUUUUGGCCCUCAGGGGGGAUUCACUGUUAUACUUGGAGGCCGUGUCACCUGAGAGUCAAUGGGCAAUGAUCAAAUUUCACCUUGAGCAGCACUCGAUGUCAGAGUUGUUGUGAAGAUUAAAGAAGAUGAUGAUUGGACAACUCCCAGCCCAAUACCUGAAACUGUACCAGCACCCGGUGAGCAUUGCUAUUCCUGUGACUGCUACAUAUUUACCUUAUCUCAGCAGUGUGCCUGUGUCACUUUUUUGUGAAGAGAACAUCCCGUGUACUAUCGUGUAGAAGUUGUAGUAGAUGCUGGGUCUUUCCAACAACAAACAACCCUCGUGCCAGCAACUUAAAUUUAUCAGUGAUGAAGAAUACCUGGCAUUGACUUCUGCAUGAGUGCCCUUUUAGUUGCUUUGUAUUCUUCUACCUUGAUUUUUUUUUCUGUUUUUCUACAUGAGUGUUGCCUGCAGAGUUCCAACUGACUCAAAGUACAUCUUCUGUAUUGCUUCAAGUAGUGCUGGUCAUGAACACAAUUAAGUCUUCGUCAGCUAUUGGAACUGAUUGACUGCAAAGUUCUGAUGCCUCUUCUCUCAGCCCAGGGCAGAUGGAUGUGCUAUGUGGGGGCCCAUAAAAAGCAGAAUCAUGGAGCUGGUGGGGCAAGGAGUCAAACUCCCUCCUAGGGCCUGUAGCCUCCACCAGGGCAGAGAGCAAGUUUCUCUCAGCUUCUGCUCUCAGGUGGUGACCUGGCAGGAGGACAGCUUGGCAGUAGGUGCAGGCAUUGGAUGGGGACCUCCUGGCUCCUCUCCUAGCUCUGCCAGCACCAGCCAUAAGGCACUCAGAUCAUGCAACUUCCCUGUGUCUCCGUCUCUGCAUCUUUAAAAUGGGGCGAAUAAGAACACUUUUCUCAUAGACUUAUAAAGAGAAUUAAUAAGAAAAAUGAUAAAAUAAUGCUUGGCUCAGAAUGUGCACUCCAUGAACAUUAGCUGUUACCACUUAAGAAGGGCGUGUAACCUCCAGCUGCACCCAUGCCAGUUCCCGUUGUCUCACCCUGGGCCAGCGACACCCAUCUUAAGUCACCAUUGAGAAUACAAGCAAGUCAUGCUGAAAUCUGCCAGAAUAAAGGUCUAUCUUCACAGAACAAGCCUGUCUACACUUGAACCCACAGUUUUUCGGUCAUAUCCAGACUUCAAGGAGGGAAGAGGGCUCCACUGCGGGCUUCCUGUAGCAAGCAUGGGGGCCGUGUCUGAGUCCCCUGCGGUGUUCUGUCACCAUAGACCGUGACUUUCAAGCAACACAGUCACUUCUCACAGCGCUAGAGGUCAGAAGUCCCAGAUGA
Molecule: long non-coding RNA, 1454 nt
Organism: Symphalangus syndactylus (siamang)
Lineage: Eukaryota; Metazoa; Chordata; Mammalia; Primates; Hylobatidae
Source: RefSeq, a predicted model, not a curated record